Molecule: long non-coding RNA, 16630 nt
Organism: Haplochromis burtoni (Burton's mouthbrooder)
Lineage: Eukaryota; Metazoa; Chordata; Actinopteri; Cichliformes; Cichlidae
Exons: 5
Source: RefSeq, a predicted model, not a curated record
UCCCGCGCCAUUCGGCGUGCACGCGCAUGCAGGACCAGGCACGUAACCGUUUGGAGACUGUCUGGAGUCUGUCUGAAAUAGAUAAAAUUGAAAAUGGACUUUUAGAUAUCUGUGUUCAUUUACAAGGAAGCCGCCUGUUGGAAAAUGGGAUCUUUGCUCUCCUCCUCGAGCGCCUUCGCCCACCAGUCGCCACGCUCUGGCAAAAAUGUAGAUUUUUUUCUAGAUAAACGUUGUGAAAGUUUUUUCUUCUGCAGUCUAUCAGGAGACAGCUCUUUAUGCACAGGGAAUCACCCUUCAGCUCUGGAGUUCAAGAGGAGUGCACCAUCCAGAAGGCAGCCUACAAGAGCACAGAAAGGCCUGUCCCUAACCUGAACCAGUGUCUGACAAAAAAUGAUUGGAAAUGCAAUUAGAAAGGAGAGCCCUGGUUUCUUGAAGUCUGUCAUGCCUUCAUAUGUUUGACCCUGAAGUGUACCCGCCCAAAUGGUAAGAUCUGUGUUGACCUGUUCAUUAGAGCACAUUUGGGCACGUUUAAAGUUGAGAAAAGCAAUUCAAGGAAUGCUUUAAGGUGCUGCAGUGAGUGAAUGCGAUUGCCUGAGGGAAAUAUCAGUCCGCUGCACACCAGCAUUUCCAGAGCUUGAGCUCCUGCCUGCAAUGCCAGUUCUGCAUGAUAUGAUGGUGAGAAUUGGCUAAUCAAAUCCACUGCUGUCAUUCACUAUUUUUUUUAUUUUAUUUUUUUACCAACACACAUUUUUGAUCUCUUCAUAAUAUAAUCAUAGAUAUGGAUCUUAUAAGUUAUACUUGAGGCGUUGACUGGAAAAUGCUGAUGCAAGAGGCGCUCUGAAUCUUCAUACUGUUUUUCUAUUGGAUGAUUGUCUCCACCCACAAGUGCAGUCACGAGGUCUAGCAUCAUGAUGAUGUCUGGGAAAAACAGGCUUUUCGUGGGUUAUUUCUGUGCACAUACAAACUAAAAUCUGAGCCUGUUUCAAAGCAUUGCUCUGUACAGCAGCAGCACCUGCCAUUGUCUCCUGUAAAUGGUGGGAUGUUUAGCUCACCAGGCUUUUGCUACGUAAUGACGCAGUUUCCUUUGACAAUGGUGUGGCAUUUUUUUUCUUUUCAAAUCAAGGUUUUUUCUGUAUUUAAGAUGUCUCCUGGCAGUCUGCCAAAACAUGGAUCCAUUUCCCUUUUCUGCUCUAACAGCUGCACAGCUGUGACCCUCAGCCGGUCUUAGCCAUCGAUAUCGCAAAGCCAUCAACGUCCAUCUUAGGUUUAGGCACUGGCAAAAGAGAAAUAACUGUAAUGUAGCACGUAGAAAAGGAAAUCUGAGCUCUCGGCAUAAAUCCUAACAGAAAACGGCACAACUUGUAUGAACUAAAACUUUCCAGUCAAAGAGAUUUAUGGGUAUAUGUGAAACGUACUUUUAGCGUAGUGGUAGUAGUAUUUUAGUUUGUCUUUUAAAGUUUUAAUUUUUGUUCAGUGCAGUGUGUUUUUUCUUAUUGCCGUAAUGCUUUCUUUUUUCAUUUUCAAAUGUUUAAAUUGACUUUCAAAUGUUUUUGAUGCCACGGUUAAGAUGAUUUACUGAAAAUGCUCAUCACCUCAGAUUUAAAUCAAAAGUAUUAAUUAAGCGCCAGCGUAAUAUAUUCUAAUAACGUACUAUUAAAAGUUUAACAUGGAAUACAUGCUUUAAAAUAUAACGUGCAAUACACAUAUUUUGUUAUUUGUUAUUUAUUGAAGUCUAUCAGACUUAAAUGACGAUCACUAAGUCACCCAAUGUAAAUGAUCAUUCGAGAGAAGAUUCUGAAGCAAUAACUGUUUGAUUUUAAAUUUUAUUUGCUUUGUAAAUUGUCGAAAAGUUAUAGGCAUUCGGCGAUAAUAAAAACGCGCAUUAAAAUAAUACAUUUACACGAUUAAUAAAAUGUUUUUUUUCCAGCGUGUUGUGCAUCUUAAACCUUUUAUAUUUUUUGUAAUAAAAUUUUAGCAGCAUUAACGGUUUAAUAGCAAAUUUAUUUCUGAUUUGUACGAUUAUUACGCAUCGUUCGUAUUUAUUGAAGUUAUUUUUAAUCGUUUAUUUAAACACAGUUUGUUUUUAUUUUAUUGAGCAGAGUGUAUAAAUCUCUAAAAUGUAAUGAGUGUAAUAAAAUAUUGUUUGUAUAUUAUAGAAUAGCAUAGAAAAGUUAUGCUUACUGACGCUAAAUUAUAUUAGAGCGAUAUAGUGUUGUAUUUUUGUGUGUGUUAGAUUUCAGUCAGGCUCUUAUAAGUGAUGCAUCUUUUUAAUGAAGUUGUAUGAGCUAAUGACUGCACUGGAAAGUAAAGUCCACCCAUUGCAACGUUUAUUUUAAAUGUACUGUAUAAAAGGAUGUAGAACUGCUAGUUUGUCUUACGAAACUAUUUAGUUAACCUUUACCCACCCACUAAAUACUUGUUUUCCUCCACUUAUGUAAAGCCACACUGUAUUCUGAUGCCAUGUAACACAACAGUGGCUGUCAGUAACAUUAAGCUGGGUCUGUGCUUUGUUGCCAUUAAAAUAGAGAGAGGAAAAGGGACUUUGGAUUUAUGCAUGUGUUUAGGUGUUAUGAGGCCAGGAGGCAGGUCAGAAUUACCAAACCUAUAGAUUAAUGUCAGACCUGUUAGAUUUUGUUAAAAAAAUAAUUAAAUGAAUUUUAAAAAUGAGCCAUGCUAAACCAUAUUAAGUUCAGCUUAUGCGUGCAGGUGGUUUAGAUAGUUUCCACUUGAAAUUAUGAUUACUAAAACAAAAUUAUUUCAGCUGAAAUCCUGAUUGCGUCGAACACUUAUUAAUAUUUAUUAUUAGUUCAUUUGACUGCAGAUGCUUUUGUUAAUAAGCCUAAAUUGUUUUCACCGUUUUGAUCCAAUGUUACUCUUCAAAAUGUUUCUUUAAGUGGUUCCAUUAAACCUUAAUAACAGAAUAAUAAAAAGCUGUUUAUCUGGUGAAUUUUUCUGUCGUUUUGAGCCAAAAUAACAUUUUUGAAGUAUUGAAUUGAUCUUAGGUCAACAGUAGGAUCUUGGCUUGGAGAUAACAGACCUUUUUUUUUUUUUAUUAAAUUUCCUUUUAUUUUAAAUCACUAAAGAAUCACAGUCGGCACACACUCACUGAGGUUGGGAAUGUAAUCUGCAGCCACAACAUCAUAUCACAUGAAUAUUAGUUCUUCAUUAGCAGAAGGCUGCCUGCCUGAAAUUCCACAUUGACUUCAAUGUAAAUGUCACGGUUAUUUCUGAGAGUUGUGAAGGUAAGUAAAUAACCUCUUUUCGUUGACUGGAGUGUGUUUGCUUGCAUUUGUUACAACUAGCUGUGAUCCAGCCAGUCUUAAGAUGUGCACACGCAGCAUGUCUGUUCCCACUCAGCUGCGUUGCAUUGACAGCUUCAGCAGUACUUCCUGGUUUCAUUUGAUUGCAAAACCACCACUGACUUUUAAAUGGAGUGUGCUCAUUUACAACACCCUCAUAAACGAUACAAACAAGUUCAUAGGGCCUGGUGAUCACUGUUUGACUGCACUGCAAGGCUGUGUGCUUGCUUAUAGUGAGCAACAGCCUCAACAAGUACUUACCUUCUGGGAGGAAACUUUUGGGUUGAGGUGAACUUCUGCUUGUGUAACUCUUUCUCUGAGAUGUCAACACAUAAGAUUUUACAGUGGACUACGGCUUUGAAACUGACCUUAGUUAUACAGUUUGUUUGUGUCAAAAGACAUGUAUGCUUUUACAGUAGUGUUUAACAUAUUGCUCAAUGCUUUUUGGAGAUUUUAUUGUUCGUAACAGUAUUCGGCUUUCUAAUGAAGGUUUGAACGUGCAGUAAAUAGUAUACCAGUGCAGUAGUCACUAUAUAAAGCUUGACUCAUAUCAUUAUUAAAGGACAGAUUUUUGUAAUUAGGAAGACAAAACACAUUCUUAUUGUGACGAGUUAUUAGAUAUUGUUUUGUGCAUAUUUUAAUCAAGACAUCUUCUAAAAUUGAUAGCUGCUUGGUUGAUCAGCUACUAUCACCAUGAGUGAGUAUAAACAUCUGGUAAGAUGAUAAUAUGGCAGUUCGAGAGCCCUCCUUGCCUCUGUGUAAUAUAGUACACAUCGCCAUCGUCUACAAAUUUUGGUUAUUUUAACAAAAGACAUACUUGGGGUAAAGUGUAACUUGUUGCAUUAACUUUAUAUUCACAAAAAUGAAGAUGUAAGAAUAAAUCUGCAAAAUACUUUUAUAGUGAAAAGUCAGAAACGUCAUUUGUGGAGUAGCCAGUAGUUUGGUGCAAAUAGUAUGUAGAGCAGAUCGGUGUGUAUGUUACUGCUUUAUAUUUUUGUCAUUUGUUUCAUAUCUUACAAAAACUGCUUCUUUAACAUACAAAAGCAUUAAAAUUUCACCACUGCGGUGGCUUUGGUAAAAGUUUCCCUCAAAGCUGGAUUUCUGAGACUUGAGGGUGCACUUGCAUUUUUCCCUAAUUGGGUCUUAUUUGAACACACCUGGAAUACCUGCUUUCAUUCUGCCAUUUGACCUUUUGUGAAUUAAGACGGCAAGACAGAGUUAGAGCUCAUCAACCCUGCGGUACAUCAUACUGAGGGAAGGCUGCACCAUGACUAAUUAGUAAAUCUCACUUCUCUCUAAGGUGAAAAACUGAUUUCCUUUGCAGAGUGUGGGGGUUGAUGAGUAAAUACCCACCUGCACUAAGUUGCAGUAACCUAAUAAGUCUCCCUGGACUUUGAAAGUGAAUAUUUCAUAUUUCACUUAUCUCCAACAGCUUUUCUGCAUGUCUCAUAUCUGACUCCCAAACCUUAAAAGAUGGGUAAGACUGCACCCACAGACUGCAGGAUCUCUCUGUCACACAAUGGCGUGGAAAGGUCAGGCCUAAUGAAGUCGGGGGUUUGACCCCUAGUAUUCAGUGACUUUGCAUGGGCUCCCAUCCCACUGCUGCAACCAUGCCGGUUAAUCCCUUUUUGAUCCUAAUUGAUAGGCAUUAACAUGAUCCUUAUCCAGGAGCUGUGUUUUGUCUUCCACAGCCCUUCUCUCUGGGUGUCAGUGACACAAAGUGUGAAAGCGUUAAACCAAAUGUGAAAUUGAUAUUUUUCAUGUUUGUGUGCUUAAAGUCAGGCUGGGUUUUAUGAACACUCAUGCAGAAGUCCUCAGUGUUCAAUGUUUUGCCCUUUGAGACUCUUAACAGGACUUAGCAUAUAACCUCUGGAAUCCGACUGUGAUGUGAAUGGUACCAGCCCAUUUCCAGUUUGUUUUCCUUUGAGUCCUUUUAUCUUCAUUGCUAGGUGAUUGCUUCCUUUAACUAUUUACUAAUUACCCUCUUUAAAAUGUUUGCAGUCUUUAAGUCAGGGUACAUGUCACUUUUAUGAAAGCACAGACGCUGCAAGACUUCAGAAAUGCAGGCGGCAUCAGUUCUUCAGGGUUUCUUUUGACUUUGAUUUUAUUAGUCUAGUAUUAUAUAAGAUUCGUGUUUUGUUUUUUUUUGUUUGUUUUUUUGUUUUUUUUUUAAAUUCCAGCUGUCAAUUUCCAACUCUAAAAAUACUUAACUUUAAAUAUUAGAACUCUCGCUACACACUAAUCAUUUACAUUACUUAUUGUAGUUUGACUUUAUUCACAAUAGCAAUCAGAAGUCAUCGCACACAUUUGUAUAUUAGAAAAACGCCUUUACUAAACACUUGAUGUACAUUUGAGUAAUUGCUCAUUACAUUACAUAUUUUCCAAAGGUGUGUCCUUUUAAUUUCCUUGCAUCUACAAACUAGCGGCACAUAAAUCUGUUGUGUUACACGAUGUUUUACAAGUGACAUUAAAGGGGUAUUUUAUUUGUAUUUGUUUGCUAUUUGCUUUACUCGGUAGUUUUACAAAGUUUUCUUUGGGCUCAGCAGUAUUCAAGUUUUCUGCAAAAGUUUUGCUUAUGUUAAUGUUUAAUGUGUAUGAGAAUUUUCUUCGAAAUGCAUUGAAACCUUGUGCUGUCAUAAAAACACUGAUUUAAAAAGUUAGGUUCUGACUGCUGUGCGCUUUGAAUUGGUCACCUUUAUAUUAGAUUUACACGUAGAUGUUUUACAUUUAAUGUAUUGGUGAACAUUUUCCCACAGCUCCACCGUCACAAUUGUUCCCCUAAAAACUGCAUUAUGCUUUUAACCUAUGGUCUCUAAUGUGAAAAACUUAUUGUAGGAACCUUUUUCUCCCAUUGUGCAUUGCAUGAACUUUACUUAAAUGCACUUUAAAAACUAAAUUGUAGAGACAUUUCAUCCUUAAAAAAACCCACCAGAAAACAAAAAUCUGUUUUUAAAUGUUCCAUUUCUUUCCUAAUAUUAAGAUUUAGUUCCUUCUUUAAGCUUGGUAAACCUCAUCUGUCUGCAAAACCAAAAGAAGGCUUCAGGUUUUUUGGACAACCAUAUGUUAAAUAUUUAUUUAUUUUGAACACUACACUCAAAUCUGCACAAUUAAGAAGCAUGUCUCGCCAUUUCGCUACUGUGCUCAGCAGUGUGCAUCAACCCACUUUAGCUGUAAAAUGCCAGGUGUCAUGUUGGUUCUUGUUGGUUUCACACAGCGACUCAAGUCCCUCCCUGGAAUGCAUUUCUCAUGUCUCCAUAGGAUUGAGUGCUAUUUCAGCUUGUUUGUUGCAGUCAAUAAUGAGUACUCUGUAAGGCCUGAUGACAUAAUUUUAGGGAUUGCUAAAGGAAAAAACUCAUUAUGGAGCUAAGACGGUACAGACUGGGACGACGCACAUGUACUCCACAUGACUGGCACCACCUGCCCUCUAUAUGUUACACUCGCUUCUCUUAUCCCACUGAGCUAGUGUCUGCCAGUUAUGUGCAACCCCCAGCAGACACCCAUGCAGUGACUCAGUGGUGGGUUGGGCUUUACUGUGUUGCUGUUAUUUAGAUUUGCUUUAGCCACAGGUAAACAAGUUUGUAGAUGAUUUGGUGGAUUGAAAGGUCAGUCAACGACAGCAACAGGAAGUGUACUCUCCUUAGAGAGUCAGUGCACUGUAGAGAGUUUUUCUCAUGUUUGUUGUCUAAAGAAGCUUUGUUUUCUUGCAUUUUGUCUGACACAUUUUUUUCUAAGAUGGUAGAAAUUUUCAGCAAGUGUGUGACUAUUUGCUGUGCAGUAUGAAGAGUUUGCUUAGUUCUGGUUGUAGCUGUUUUCUUUCUACUUAUUUUUUUCUCCUAGUUGGAAAAAUAAUGGGGAGGUAGUUCAUGUACAGUAAAAUGAACAGUGCAGUAACCAGCUCUAACAUUUAUGACAGUGUUGCACUGGUUCAGGACAUGCAAAUAAUAAUUAUCUGUAAUUGUCAUGCUGUGUGGAUGGUAAUUGGCUAACAGCUAUAUCGUGCAUGCGAUUGGUGCACAUUUAAUGUAAAUUUUAACGUUUCCUUGAUUGAGAGGUAUGUACGGUAUAGCAGUAAUUGCCAUCCUGGAGCAUGCAAACCUUAAAAAACCUGACAGCUUCCACAUUUUGACUGUAGCUGUCCUGUAAUUUGAUAUUCUUGUCUAUAACUGCCUUUAUUAAUAAUUGCAAAGCCAAAAAGUACUUCUUGAGAAAACAAAAAGCAAAGAAAAUCAACCACGAAUUUGUGCAUGUGCAUUUGUGUUUGCCUGUGUUAUAGAGGUUUGACUUUCAGCUUGAAGAAAGCGACAUCAUUACACUUUUACAGCAUUGGCAAUUGAGUGACUGAGCCAUAUUUAUACAUGUCAAAUUCUGGUCUAAAUGCACAUCAAUGCAGUCUGUCUUUAGCAUUUUAGAGCAGUUAUACCUGUAUGUAUCAGAGUGACAUGUCUGAAGUUUAAAACUUUGGAGUGUUUAUUAAAAAUAAAACAAACUCUUAUUUUGAUAUCUUAUUUUACUCUGGAGCUUUACACAUCACAGCGCCUCACCACCUUCGUUUAUUCUCUUCAUAUUGUUUCGAUAUGAACAGCUUUUUCUAGAAAUGACACAGAUGAAAAUAUCAUCUUGCAGGAUGUUGCUGCAUCACAGCAGGGAUAAGAGGAGCUUGUUGUCAUGUGUGGAGUUGGUCUUUUAAGACAUUGAAGUCGACGGUAAUUUCCACUCCUCUCUGGAUUUAGCUGUCAGAAUUCCUACCAGCAGACUUCCAUUUGCAUUCAGUUCAUUUUUAUGAAUUAGCUGGUGUAUUUAUAGCCUCUGACCAUUUUCGACAGCUUAGAUGUGGAUCACUUAGUGUGCAGCCAUAUUUUUUUUUUAAUUAUUUGGUUGUGUUCACGCACAUUUUACUUAUUUGUAUGAUGUUUAAAACAUAAAACUAGAGUGGGAUUUAGGUUGAGUUCCUAAAAGAAAACAAGAAGAGUGAAGCAUAUGAAGAAAAGAUGGAAAAGGUUGGAAAACAAUCUUUGUAUAAAACUUGCACUAUGUAAGACCAGCCAUAUAUUUGCAGAAUGUCUCUAAAAUUAAAAGAAAACUGAAAAAGAAACUUUAUUUAAAACUUUUCUUCAGGUUCAUUGGAUAUUAAAUAAUCAUUUUCUCCCAGCACUAGCAUUAUUUCAUAUUUCCUACAUCCCUUUUAUUCAUAUUUAAACUUUUGGUGAUUAAACCUUAAAUAAAAGCAUUAAAUUAAAACACAAUGCUAAGCUCUUGUUCUGUGAAGAUGGAGUUUAAAGAGGCAGCAAUGCUAAAUAAUCAAAGUGCGGAUUGAUGGGCAGUAUUUGAUUGGAGAGCCUUUUAGCAGCUUUGGGCCUAAACAAGUUAUCUAAUGUAAUGACUAAUGUUUGAAGUUUGGUUUCAUGCUGUGCUUUUUCCACAUUGCAGUUGCAUUUUUAUUUAAAAAAAUAAAUCAGUUUUCUUAACAUAGCUGUUAGUCCCAAGUGGGGAGACUGCUCAAUCUAACUUUACUUCUCAAUGCUGCACAUUGUCCUUUCUCCUGACAGAAGCAUUCAAGAUCAAGGGCAGCAUCACCUUUGCCACUAAUGAGGUUGUUUAUUCCCCCAAAUUUCCUUGUGGACUUAAACUGAGAGGAAAAACAGGCCAUGCAUAGCAGAGCACAUAAUUAGCAUUAGCAAAACAGAGCUCCAAAAGUCCCAUUUUAUAGAAUAGGUGACAGCAGGAUCCCAUGUUUCUUACCUAAAUUGCCUGUAUGUUUACACUUUGGACAAAAGUGUAUUUAAUUGUAAUAGGUCAUAAUCUUUGAAAAAAAAAAUAGUUUCAGAACUUCCCGUUGCUUUAUUUUAGAGUCAACAUUUUUAGGACUUUAAUUAGAGAAAUUAAUUUCAUGUCAGAUUUCUCAGUAAUAAACAAUAUUUUUUCAAUGGUGACUAUCCAUAGAUAUUACUCUGCUCUUUACUUGGACUGUGUAAUAAAUGACACUAUAACAAUGUGCUAACUGCUAGUCAGUAGCAUUUUUCUUCUCUUUCAAGGCAACUUGAGCUGCAAAUAGGCCAAAUCAUCUUUGACAUCAGCUGCAUCAAUGUUUUUUCGCUUUGUUUGAAUCGUGGGCAUUCAAAAGUCACGACAUGCAAAAUAGAAACUCAUCUGAUGAAGACGACUAAGUACUAAAAACGAACUACUAGGGAUACGACAGACAGAGUACACCGUGUCUGUGGUUGCAAAUCAAUUAGCAAUCAACCUAAUGUGUUGAAAAUCCUUUUGAAUUCCCAAUACAUUGGCUUUUUUCGUGCAGUGGUGCCUGACGUACUCUGCCCUGAAUUAUUUAUCUUAAUUUCUAUUGACUAGAUUGUAUUACCAGUUCAGAACUGUCAUAUAUUUUAAUGUUUUUAAUCUAAUUUCCAUUACGAAUGAGUUUAACCUGAUCAAGAGCCUUUGGCAUUGUAUAUCUUCCAAUAAUAGUGAUGAUGAUAUAUGUGUGGCACUUUUCUCUAGCUGGUGCACAGGCAGAAUACCAUUUCUAGGCCUCUACUCAGAGAGCCCAUGUACACUGCUUUAUUUGCUGAUGUAGAUUGGGUUCCAAUCUCUGCGUAAAUGUGAGGCUUUACUGUAUGUUUGCUUAUCUGUCCAGCCAUCCCAUCUAUUCAAACAGCUUUCCUUUUAUUUAAAGCUGUGUGCUGGCUGGGCUUUUUAUCCCUAGGACUUUUUCUGUUAUUUUGGGACCAGAUGGCGAGGGGCACGGAAGCGCCUCUUUUGUCUGGGUGCUUCUUUUGAAAAGAGGUUGUCGUUCCCUAAUGUAAUCAGCAGCACCGGAAGGGUCCAUUUUGGGCCGUGAAAGAAGACAAUUGGGUCUGGACACCUCUAGCUUACAGAAAUGUAGAGUUCAUCUCUCGACCCUGCCCCCUUUGACCAAGGCCCUGGCAUGAAGGAUGCUGAUCUUUGAUCAGUGGAGGGUGGAGGUGCUGAUCCGACCUCAUGAGGGCCAAAGGGCACCCCCCUCCACCCCGUUGCCCUGUUUACCCUGUACUUGGCUACUGCUGACACCUCCUUCCGGAAGAAGCCAGGGGGUAGUGGGUUGGGUUGGGCAUGGUGCGGGGGUAUACCAUGACCUGUCUAGACACAGUUUUUGUUUGUUGCCCUGGUGUUGCCAAGGGGGACACAGUGAACUUUGACCUCAACUGUAGUUGGUUAGGAGCUACUUUGGUCAUCCAAGGAAGACAUUUUUUUUUCUUUUUAAUUUCAGGGUUGGAGGUGGGGAAAUGAGGCGGGGUAUGGAUGUGACCUACAUAAUGCGCAAUCUGCUUUCAGAAACCACAGGCAUGAAUUUGUUGGCAAAACUGGUUUUAUUUUUUUUAUUUAUUUAAUUAUUUGCUAGUUAUAUGAUAAUUUCAGUUGGGUCACAAAAUGGAAGACUUGUAUUGUGAUUUUGCUGUUUACUGGAUGCACUUUUGGAUGUUUUCUUCAUCAUACACAGUAAGUAAUCUUAAAAUUUCAUUUACAAAUGUGAUAUUCAGUCAAUAAAUUGGAGGUAAAACCAAUAGAAAUAUUAAUUAAACUCUUACUUACAAAAACUGACUACUAACAUAAGCUGUUUUUGUGUGAAGCAUCAGUCUUUAGGCCCUUUAUUUAUUUGAAUUUAUUGGAAAGCACUUUGGUUUUAAAUGUGUUAUAUAAAUUCAAUUUAGUUACUUGCUUAGUUUUAACAAAUGCUGAGUAGAACUUGUCUGUCCGAGCGGCUUUAAUGCCUUCUUGUUGAGCGAGAGACAGAUUUUCUGUGUGGUUACACAUUGUUAUGCUCGUAUGUUGCUCGACCUUUUUCACAUUUUUAAUUUUAUAUUUCAGUUGCUCAAAUUAAUAUCCGGCACAGUGUUUCUCUUUAUCUCUGCUUACUCAGAGCUUAUGCAUAGAUAAUUCCUUGGAAAAGAUUUAAACGUAAUCUGGAAACCAAAGAAGACAAACACUGAAAAGUAGUAAUGAAGAGUUUGAAUUUUAAAAACGCAAAUCAGAUCUUGUCUAGAAUUUUUAUGCCAAUAUGCACAAAUGUCUAGAUUUUUUUUCUUUGUUCCUUUUUUUAAAAAAAAAACCCCAAAACAAACUAUUUUAAUAGGCUUAGAAGAAAAUAAUUAGCACCAUUAUUCCUUAAUGGGAAUGUUUCGCCACAGACACAGUGAAAUGUUUCUUUUAUUAUUUACCACAUGUCGCUCUUUAUCCUAUGCCUACAGUCGCUGAUUUUGGCCUGAACCAGAACAUAGCCUAAUGUGUGAACUGGCUUUGAUGUUGAGGCCGUUUCUCAGGAGUGGGUGUAGCGAUUCCACCAUCAUGGCCGCCACUUCCAACCCCGCCCUCUCGCCUGCCACUCAGGAACAGUUAAAAUGGCAGCACGCAGCAAAAUGAGUGAGAGGGAGAAAGAGGGAAACGCCCACUACUGUGAGCUAAGGCACAGUCGACUGAGCUGUAGCUCGCCUCGUAUGCCAGCUCAAAGCGAGAUCAUUAUUUUUUGGUGUUUUCAGUCGUCUGAGUACAAUGUGAAUCCGAAGAUGUCUAGACGAGAACACGCUGCUGAAAUCACUGAAUAGUUAGCAAAUUUUGUCACAGAUUCAUCCGCCAUCUGUAUUUUACUGUAACGCUCUGUUUUGAGCAACAGUUUGUGAGAAAUUUUACUCAAAACAAUCAUAUAUUCUUCUUUAUGAGCUGAUUUCAAAACUUGUAAUAGGGCUAAUAUGGUUAGCGAACCCUUCGUAUGCAGUAUUUUAUUGGGCGUUACACUUACUACACUGUAAUUGAACAUGAACAUGCUCUUUGGUGUGCUGCCAUUCUUCAUGUUUUUGGUUACAGGUUUGUACAACUGAUUAUGGGCUCUGUGUGAUUAACACAGGAUUUUCUGCUGUGUACUAUCUAAAGAUGUUAAAAAAACAAAACAAAAAACCCUAAAAUAUUCAUAUUUUACUCAUAAUAUGUAUUUGUUUGUACUGCACGCAUUGGCCACUGCAUCAUUUGUAUUCUGAAGUGAUACAGUACAGUAUUUCAGCGAGCAUAUUCAUCUUUAAUGUUGACAGAACAAAGUAGUGCGAUCAGUGAUUUUUGAAACCCUUUGCUGUUAAACAGCUCUGUAAAUGUGCUUAUUAUGUCAUCUAACUAAUACCAAUUAAAGGCUGUACGCUACACCAACCCAGUGCUGUUUCAAUGAGCUUGAGACCCUUUUAAAAUGGCUCACAGAGCAUAGAUGGAUAUAACCAAUCUCAGUAAACUGGCUGAAAUUAAGCAUUAUACCCAAUCAUUUUAAACCUUUGCAGGACUGGCAGCUUCUUCUUAACAGCUCUAUUGCAAGGCACUCUACAUCCAAACUGCAGUGUGGAAAAUUUAAAGUGCAGGGAGCUAGCUGGUGUACUAGGAGGAAGAUGUCAUGCUAAGGAUGGGUUUUGGUGAUGAUGUUGCUACUGUUGAUGCAGCAUCGAGCUCUCACUUUGUGCCUCUGUCAGCUAUGAUCCGUAACCACAAAGUGAGUGACAGGCCAGUCCCUGGGGAAAGCAAGGGGGCCUGAGGUGAGUCAGAUGUAUCCUUGACCCUGUCUGGCUGUGUGUCAGCGAGCAACACAAACUCUGUAUAAAAAAAAAAAAAAAAAAAAGAGGCCAAAACUGGCAUGACUGUACAUUGUACAUCUUUAUUUAGUAUGUAGAAGAAGAAUGUAGGAGAAACAGAACCAACCUGAGUUUUUCUGUUAAGUGGAUAAGUUUUUUGUUGUUGCUAGACUCAUUUUGAAAUUAUAAUGAAGCGCACAUUACAAAUUGAUACCUUUGAUACCUUUGUGUGCAUUUCUCUUCCACCAGAGUGCUGAUGUUUUAAUCUUGGCUUUGUGAUGUUGUUACAGACCUGUUUUAGACAAACUCAGCACAAAUUUUGUAUACACUGUUUACUCCAGUGCAUUACAUAUGGCUUAAAUAACACAUUCAUGCAAGGAAACAUAAAUCUGUUCAUUACUGAGGGUAAAUUUUACUCAGGUUUGAAGUUGCAAAGUGGCAUAUUCACUCAAAUUAGCAUUUUGAUUUUUUUCACUUAAAAUAACUGAAGCUGAUGAUUGAGAAAAUCUUUAUUAAUAUAGCUGUUGUACAGGAUAUGUGGUCAAAUGGUAGAAAAAUGUUCCACUGUUAAUCAGCUGCAGCACUAGGUGUUGCAAUACUUAAAGAUGGUGUAACGUUUGUACACGAUGGACUCAAAAUGAGGGGCCUGGAAAAUGUUAUCCACAUCUCAGGAUUUCUUACUAGAGCAAAUACCUGAUCAGUUUGAGAAGGUGUCCAAUUGAGAAGAAAUUUUUGAAUUUAUUAAAUUGCGAUAAAAUAUCUGUUUUAUUUCUGGCCUUUUUUUGUUAUAUUCAUGUACUGACAAAUUUAAAAAUAUAUGGAUUUUAGACUUUUAAUCAGAUAAAACGGUUAAUCUGAUGAUAAUGUUUAAGCAUUUUGUGUUUGGGGAUUUUGUGUAUCUAAUGUCUGAACAAUAAAUGAUCAAUGCAAAAUUUAAAGAAUAUAAUGAUGAUUAGUGAAAAUAAUUUUUGUAGUUGCUGCUUUUAAGUGUAAAUGCACAUUCAGAAAUUGAUAUCUGCAGAUGUUCCAAAAGAAAACAUUGUGUUUUGUGCCAUGCAAGAUAUUUGCUUCCACUUGCCAAAAAAGAUGACCCAUAAGACAUAUUAGGAAAUUAUUUUAAAAGUUGGUGUUUUUUUUGAGUUCUAAAGUGCUUAUUGUAAUAUUUUGUAGCAGCAAUCAAAGACAAGAGUUCAUCCAAAGCCGUAGUCAGUGUUACACCAGACGCAUUCUGCAAAAGACAUGAUUCAACUUAAGGUGCAACUGCAAGAAAUGAUGUAUUUAUGUUAAAUUAAAUGUAAGAUAACUAUGACCGUAAUAUUAAAUAACUUUUUAUUAAUAAACAUUUCCUAUUCUGUAAUUGCUUCUCUUACUUUGUUCCUAUAUUUCUUUUACCAUCUUUUUGUUAAAAAUAUAUGACACAUCCAUAAAUCCACCAGUAUAGAGAACAAGCUGUGCAACUCAUGCUGUGUUAAAAACAACUUUGUGAAAUUUGAACGCAGCAUAAAAUUUGGUCUUGCUGAGCAGAAAACAUUACUUUAGGAAACAAAUAUGGUAGCUACAUGGGAAAAGGUGCAUUGAUGUUUUUUCUUUUUCCUGAAUUUCUUCAAGUGAACAAAAAGAAUCUUUGCUUAAAAGUCUUGCAUCUUCUUUUUUUUUUUUCAAGGGUCACUCAAACACGGUGUGUGAAAUGAGAGUUGCCUGGGUGUGACUUCUCCAGAAAGCAUCCGCUUGCUAUUGUCUGCCUAGUCAACUUCUGCAGGCCCCAGCACCCUGACUUCCAUACAUGAGAGAUCAAGGGUUACCAAGGUGCUUUUGAGAAAGAAGGGCUCAGUGUGAGAGGGGACAAACCAGUCCACAAAAUACUCAUUUCCUUUGCAUGUUAGGUGCCCUAGUGGGGAUUCAGCCGGGGUCACUGACACAGUUUUUCUUUUUUCCAUCGUUGUUCUUAAUGAAAACUGUUGCUUGCCUUUUCACUGCCUUUUCACUGCUAUCUGCUGCCCUGUACAGUAUGUGGCUCGAUAAUACGGUGAGUUUGUCCAAAAGAAAGUUUGUUCAGACUCUGACUGUUUAUCCGGUGCCAGACAGAGGCACCUCAUGUAGAAAAGGUAAAAGUAGUUCUGUCCACCUCUCAUUCUUGCCAAAAAAGUUCAGCCACUGAGCCACAGCAUUAACUUGUAUUCUAACAAGAUUAAAAUAUAUUCGUCCUGGGGAUUAGCAUAGUUAGGUGUCCUUUUGCCUCUUUUUUUUCCUGCACUGGUGCGGUGACAGUGGGCUUUGAUCUGUGUUGCGAGGCAAGAGUCCUGGCUUGGACCUAGCCAUUCGAGUGCCAAGUGUGAAAUUGGCCUGAUGUCAUCCCCAUUCUUCACCUUUUACAUCUUUCACCACUUUAAUUAUGUUUCCGCCACAAAGCCCAGGCAGCUCUGAGCAGAUUCCACUCUGGCCGUAGGAAGCAUUUAGAAACUGUGGGUAAAUGACACAGUAGGGGAGGGGGAGGAUGGUGGGAGAGGUCAUAGCAGGAUGGGGCCCUUUUGUGUGUAGAGGUAGACAUUGAUACUUUCCUGAUGUAUCCUGCACCCACUUCCAUUUUUUGCAACAUGAGAACUCUCUAAAAUUGUCUGCAGUACUGAAUAAAAUUUCUUUUUAUCCCAGGCAUUUUUAAGAGUUUCUGCAGAGAUUUUUAUCUCUGUGUUACCUCCCCAGCUUUACAUGGUCAUAUAUGGUAUUUUGGCAGCAAUGCAAGACUUUUCUGAACCGUGAGGAGCCUCAAAAAAGGACCGCUGGUGGUCAUUUGACCACCUGAAUCUCUACUUCCCAAUACGAGACAAAUUAUUCUCAGAUAAAACCUUUUGUUCCAGGAAAGAAGUGCCCAUGCAGCCUAACAGCUUUAGCUUUUGUUCAUGUGCUGGUGUCCCUAUCUGAACUUCAGGGGAGCUUCUCUGCCUGUGAAUAUUUUGAUGAAGCUUCCUAUUGAUGCGCUGAAUGAAGGAUCAAAACAACAGGGCUGCGUGCGCAUGUGAGGAGGAACACAAUUGAAUGGAGUAUUUGGAUGUGUGUGUGUGUGUGUGCCAUGCAAGAAUAAAAUAAACCAAAUGAUACUGAGGUGUGUGUGUGUGUGUGUGUGUGUGUGUGUGUGUGUGUGUGUGUGUGUGUGUGUGUGAGACAGAGUAUGAGUUGGCGAGUGAAAAAGCUGUGUGUGGAGAAUGGGUUACUGAGGGGCGGGAGGGGGAAACCAGCCACCUGCAGCCAUGACAGGCUUUGACCUUCAUUGCUCUCUCUCUCACUCUCUCUCUCCCCCUCAUGCACUCACCCCUCCCUCCCCUACCCUCUCUCGCUCUCUCCCUUCGACUCCAAUUUCUUCCUUGUGAUAGAAGCACAGGCUCUUUUCAGAAGCAACGAGGAACACUGACCGUCUCAAAGACAGUGCUGGGUGCAGCCCUAUUUGCUCUAAUGCUAGUCACUGGCCGUUAGACAUGGCGUUCAAAGACUAGUGGUGCAAGUAUGGAAAUGCAGAUAAGGUAUUGUUGAGGAAACAUGCCUGGGAAUUGUUCAAGGCUUUCCCUUGCAUAAUGUUUGAAGCUUUUGCAAAUGUUUUAAUCUCAAAACCCAUGAUUCUGAUUUUCAGCGACGAUUCUGAACAUAAACAAGUGUGUGUUUGCAUGGAAAGGACUGCUGUGCUGUGCAAAUGAAUAAUGUCUGUAAUUUUCUUUAAAAAGAGCAAAUGCCAUGUUUUAGCUUGUAAUGUAUUUGUUUUUU